GCCGGGAUGGUGAAAUUGGUAGACACGCUAGCUUCAGGUGCUAGUAAUGGCAACAUUGUGGAGGUUCGAGUCCUCUUCCCGGCACCA
RNAcentral lists this transfer RNA (87 nucleotides) under Patescibacteria group bacterium. RNAcentral's name for it is "tRNA-Leu". It matches the Rfam family "tRNA". From Rfam's summary of the family: Transfer RNA (tRNA) molecules are approximately 80 nucleotides in length. Their secondary structure includes four short double-helical elements and three loops (D, anti-codon, and T loops). The record is from RNAcentral.